GAUGAACGCUGGCGGCGUGCCUAAUACAUGCAAGUCGAGCGAACAGACGAGGAGCUUGCUCCUCUGACGUUAGCGGCGGACGGGUGAGUAACACGUGGAUAACCUCCCUAUAAGACUGGGAUAACUUCGGGAAACCGGAGCUAAUACCGGAUAAUAUAUUGAACCGCAUGGUUCAAUAGUGAAAUACGGUUUUGCUGUCACUUCUAGAUGGAUCCGCGCCGCAUUAGCUAGUUGGUAAGGUAACGGCUUACCAAGGCAACGAUGCGUAGCCGACCUGAGAGGGGGAUAGCCCACACUGGAACGGAGACACGGUCCAGACUCCUACGGGAGGCAGCAGUAGGGAAUCUUACGCAAUGGGCGAAAGCAUGACGGAGCAACGCCGCGUGAGUGAUGAAGGUCUUCGGAGCGUAAAAAUCUGUUAUGAGUGAAGAACAAAUGUGGAAGGAACUAUGCACGUCGUGACGGUACCGAAUAAGAAAGCAACGGCUAACUACGUG
This 497-nucleotide ribosomal RNA is filed under the name uncultured bacterium. RNAcentral's name for it is "partial 16S ribosomal RNA". It matches the Rfam family "Bacterial small subunit ribosomal RNA", at positions 28 to 507 of the family's 1533-position model. The record is from RNAcentral.